Paramisgurnus dabryanus is the source of this 1984-nucleotide non-coding RNA. The record is from RefSeq and is a predicted model, not a curated record. NCBI's taxonomy places the organism in Eukaryota, Metazoa, Chordata, Actinopteri, Cypriniformes, Cobitidae.
UAGUACAUUUUGGCUAGAAUUGUUAUUUGUUAUAUACAGUCAAACCAAAAAUUAUUGAGACAACAGAUAUUAUUUUUUAUUUUUUAAUAGUGGGUGCAUGACACUAUAGUCAUGUAUUAUUAUUAUUAUUUUUAUUAUUAUUAUUAUUAUUAUUAUUAUUAUUAUUAUUAUUAUUAUUAUUAUCAUUAUCAUCAUCAUAAUAAGUAUUUGUGCUUUACAUACUGUAUGUCCUAGAGAUAACAACUUUUGGUCAGAAAUCCCACACAAUAAUCAUUUGCACAUGUCUGUUAGACACCAAAUACCACUAUAAUAAACUAAUUUAGUCAUUAAUUUUAUGCUAAUUUAUUAUAAAUUCAGUUGUGCUUUAAUUACUUUCUAAGGCACUUUGCAAAACAGCUUAUGUCCUAACAUGCUUAGUUUAUGACACACUGAUAAUGUCUUAUCUGAUAAUGUCUGAUGAGUUUUAUAAGUUAAAUCAUGUAUUGUAGCUCUAGGACAACAAAUAGACAGUUGGGAGUAACUAUGACUGAGAUAACUUACAAAGAGGUUAUACAAUUUCAUUCUUAAAAUAAUUUUAUUGAAAAAAUAUUCUUGUAAAAGAUGUUAUUAUUCAUUGUUAUCAUUGUGUAAUGGAAAAUGUAAAUUCAAAAAUAAUUUCUCUGCUGUCAUUAUUUCCAUACAUUGUCUGCUAUUAAUGCUUUCAAACAUGUUAAUAAUAUUUAUUUUAAUUAUGAUGAAGGUACUUGUGGUUUAUUAUAUGGGUGUGGUAAUCUAGUAUUCAAUAAAUUAUUGGGAAAAAUGGUGGCUGCUUGUGUAGCUUUUAUGUUUUCCCUAAUAACCAUAAUUUUGUUAAUGAAGAAGUUCAUAAAGUUGGAAAGUUACAUAAAGUUAAAGCAACACUAUGUAGUUUCCAUGUAAAAAUGACUUACAGCUCCCCCAUGUGGUUGAAAAGCGCAACAGUGCCUGGUAUCAGACACUCUUCUAAAGGCAGGGGGAGGGGCGGGGCUGUGUGCUCUACCCUCCACCGCCACUUUCAGAGUGUGCUUGUAGCAGCUAGGAGGCUGCUCAGGUUGAAGCAACAGUACAAUUUGUCCAGUUUAAAGUUGUUCUAUCACUGAAAUAAUUUUAGAGACAUUAUUUAAAGUUCUGGAUGUGGCAAAUAUAUGGGUCUUAAGGAUGGUCAUGAUCACUGUCUUUCAUGCUUGGGCAUUCAGCACGUUGAGGCAGCGUUCGGGGAGGCUUGAGAACAUGACCCUUGUGGAUUGGUAGAGACAGGUUUUGUACCUCUGGGAACAUCAACCUACCCUUCUGUUGCCAAGCACCACUAAGAUUGCAUCUCCAAAGCUGCAGAAGGAUGAUAUUCACAUCACAGUGUUGAACCAGUUGGCUGGUACGUCCUCCAACUAUCAGCAUCCCAUCCACAGCCAGCAGAGGUGCUGAUGGAGAUGGCAGGCUUGUGUUCUACAACACCCCCGGCAUUUGUCAGUCCUCCCAGUGCAGACUCUAUGUCUUUCACUGCAUCGAGGGGGGGUCAUCUAUUUCUAAGGCCGUUUGGUCUUAAUUCAUUAUUUGUAUUAACUUUAAAAUGUACCUUAUUGAGAAUCACAGAAGAAGAAUGGCUCAUCAGAAAAUCAGUUGUUUGAAUAACACACAUAUGUAUGCCAUAAAAAAAUUUGGUUUUAAUUUUCUUUCAAAAUGUGUUUUCUUUAUGUAAAAUUCUUUUCUACUGAAUAAAUUCAUUUUGGGGGGUGUAAGGGUCAGUGCAAAGUCUUUGAAAUGAUUUUGAGUAGAACCUUGCCACUAGUAUUUGGUUUUGGGGCCAACCGUAAUACUUGUGUUGAAGUUCAUGCAUUUGUGUUUUCUUAGUGUUUUUAGACACUCAUCAAUUACCAGGCCAAGCACAUGUCAUAAAACAGACUGAUGUACUGAAACUUCCUACAUUCUGUUAUUUGCCCAAUAAAGUAAAAUCUCUUUGUUUUCUUUA